This 337-nucleotide ribosomal RNA is filed under the name uncultured Desulfobacter sp. RNAcentral describes it as "bacterial SSU rRNA". It matches the Rfam family "Bacterial small subunit ribosomal RNA", at positions 114 to 437 of the family's 1533-position model. Lineage: Bacteria; Pseudomonadati; Thermodesulfobacteriota; Desulfobacteria; Desulfobacterales; Desulfobacteraceae. The record is from RNAcentral.
CACGUAGAUAAUCUACCUUCAAGCCUGGGAUAACUAUUCGAAAGGAUAGCUAAUACCGGAUAAAGUAAAUUAACAUAAGUUGAUAUAUGAAAGAUUGCCUCUUCUUGAAAGCAAUUGUUUGGGGAUGAGUCUGCGGACCAUUAGCUUGUUGGUGGGGUAAAGGCCUACCAAGGCUGCGAUGGUUAGCUGGUCUGAGAGGAUGAUCAGUCACACUGGAACUGGAACACGGUCCAGACUCCUACGGGAGGCAGCAGUGAGGAAUUUUGCGCAAUGGGGGAAACCCUGACGCAGCAACGCCGCGUGAGUGAAGAAGGCCUUUGGGUCGUAAAGCUCUGUC